AUGAGAAUAUCUUUACAUGUGAACAUAGAAAACAGCUUCCCGCACUGUAUCCCUUGGAGCGGCGGCUGGGACCUCGGCGGCGGCGGCCGCUCUGGGAGCAGAGCGCUACUGCCAUCUGGUGGCCACAGGCUGGAGCUGCCGCUCCUCAUCCCACCGCGCGCGGGGCCCAACACGGGGAGCGCGGGGGUGGACCAGGCUUGGCCUCAAAUUACUUUGAGUAUAAUUCGAUGCCAAAAAUGUUCCAUUUCCCGGGACGCCUGGGGGGCUCAGCGGUUGAGCCUCUGCCUUCGGCUCAGGGCGUGACUCCAGGGUCGGGGAUCGAGUCCCACGUCGGGCUCCUCGCAUGGAGCCUGCUUCUCCCUCUGCCUGUGUCUCUGCCUCUCUGUGUGUGUCUCAUGAAUAAAUAAAUAACAUCCUUUUUAAAAAUGUUCCAUUUCCCAGCCAUUUUUAAGAGUUCACCAUAGACCCUAAGUCUGCUUCAUUUGGAACCCCUUAAGUGUAGUCGUUCAGGCAGGUGGAAGUAUUGUAGACAUUCGCACAUUAUUCUGGAACGGGUGCGGAGGAAACUGAGGGGUCCUUCUGUCCGAGGAGGCGAACCUGGUGGCCGGGCACCGAGGUAGAAGGGGAGUCUGCAUAGACAUGGAAACGCAUUAAUUACAUGGUGGGGGUUUUAAGCCAUUUUCAAGCCGCCUUGUGUUAACGCCAGGUACUCCGCGAACGGGCCCACUGGUCCGCUGCAGGUCACCUGACCCUCGCAGCAGCCUGCUGACAGGGGGAGGCGGCUGGGCUGUGCCCAUUUCCCCGACAGCCCUGACAACAGUCACCCCCCCACGCUGGCACGCCCGGGGGGGGGGGGGCGGCAGGCCGGGUCCUCCUGGCUCCUCGCCCCGCCCUGCGCUAGCUCCCUGAGCCCCUCCGGAGCGCGAUCCAGUUGUGCCCAGCGUAGCUCACAUCACGUCGAGGCCCGCAGGCAGAGAGGCGGGCUGGAUCUACCUCCCCGACGCCCGCGUAGCGCUAAGCCAGAAGCAAAACCGUCCCCGAAUGUCCUCAGCCGAAAGCAGCGCCGCAGCCCGAGGUCAUCCGUGGGCGCAUCACACUCGCAGGCCUGUGCCCCGUGCCUCUGCCGGCCUUGCUUUUCCCCCCUGUGAAGUGGGCGGCGGCGGGCAGGACUCCUAGCGCCCGGCGCCGGCGCCUCGCGAGACUUGCGGGAGGGAUCUGCACGGGGAAGGCCGCGGCCCCGACAUAUGCUUAUGAAAACAUCCUCCGAUAUUUUGGGGCAGGGGGCAAAGUCAUAGUGUGCGCUCACACGCACGCGUAGCUCUCCGUGGAGCGGCGCGGCCAGCCUGUUCGCACCCGCCUUAGGCCGCACGGGCGCAGCCGCAGGGACGAGCGGGCGCACGCGCCCUGGCUGCCUGGGGAUGCGUGUCCCCGGCCCGGCAGCGCGGGGUCGGCAAACAGCAGCCCGCGUGUGGUUUUCAGACGUGAGCGUUUGCUCGCUGUGACCUUUUGCACCAAUUUCGAUUUUUACGAGCUUCUCCCUGUGCGUCUGUGCUCUCGCUCAGAUACACGGAUAACAUCUUGAAGGAAAGAGGAGCGGCCGAGUGACGGUGCGGACCCCAAGGGCAUGCAGUCCCGCCCGCCGCAGCCAUUCGGAGCUGCCGUCGUGGCCCCGGCACCGCCACCUCUCGGGGGAGGGCUAACCCGGGCCGCGGCCUGGAGG
Molecule: long non-coding RNA, 1720 nt
Filed under: Canis lupus familiaris (dog)
Lineage: Eukaryota; Metazoa; Chordata; Mammalia; Carnivora; Canidae
Description: lncRNA (ENSCAFG00040014590.1)
Source: RNAcentral